UACUAGAAGUUUUAAGCACCUGUCAGAAAACGAGAAAAUCAGUAACGAUACCUUUGAAAAGAUCUAUGACCAAACCUUAACCUGGAACAAGAAAAAAACUUCAAUAUCAACCACUAAUAUUUAAAUAAACAAUUAUUCUUAUAGUUCUAAAUCUCGUUAAACAACGCGAUUCAAACAUUACGAGUUAGUUCAGAAAGUUUCAUAUUGAGAGCAAGUUGGAAUUGAUUCCCUUAUCUGUGUUGUCCAAUACUAUAAGAGUGUGGCUAGCUAGCUUUGUUUUUGAAUUAAUUGAUCCCACAUGUAUAAAUACUAUACUUAUUCAGUUCCCACUCUCCAUCUUCUCAUUUUCUCUGUCCUUCCCUACACUCUACAAGUGCAUAUGCAUAUGUUCUGUUAUCUGCUACUUUGAUACUUGCUAUCAUUGAAAUCUGACAUGCAUGCCAUGCCCUCUAACAAAGGGUCUUCGUGGUCUAAACGCUAACCCUUUUGAAUUCUUUUUAAAAGAUACCAUUAUAGCAACCAUAAUUCUGGAACAAGAUAACUGUGAAUAUGAUUAGGAUUCAUUUUGCUGCUUCUUUCAAACUAUUCCAAAUUUAUCAGUACCGGCCAAUGAAGAUGGAAAGUAAGAAUCCAUGAGCCACUUAGCAGUGAGCACAAAGGCUUGAAGAAUAGUUCUAAACCCAAAAGGGGAAAGUGAAAAAGGUUGGAAUGGCAGAGAGCAGGUGUCUAUGUUCUAUGGUAGUGUAGGAUGUGUGAUGUGAACCUAUUGAGGCCUAUUGAGGCCAAAUGAGGAAAGAAGGUAUGGGGUUUUGACAGGUGUUCAACAUAACCUACCUUUGCUUCUUCCUUUAAUCACCACUCAAUUCCUUUCUACUUCUUUCCACAAACAUCUUUGGUUCUCAUCCCCUUACAUGGCCCAUCUAACAUUAUUUCUCUCAUCUCUCACCAAGUUGUAAUAUAAAAUAAUUUAAUAUUUGUUUAUAAAUAUUUCACAACCCAUAUAAAAUGUUAUUUUGACAACUGUGUGAAAUUCAUCAAGUUAUAAUCUUUUCAAAAUUCUCCAUCUCAUUACAUGGAUCCACAUAUCUCAUUACUCAGACCACAUUUAAGUAAGAGAUGUGAUUCACAUUUAAGUAAGAGAUGGUUUCUCUUUCUACUUUUAGGAGUUGCAAUAUGAAAUAAUUCACUCUUGGUUGUCAGCAACUACAUAGUCAAAAUCACCGCUUUACAAUCUUUUAUGAUUUCUUUAACUCCUUAUAUGAGUUCACCUUUCAGUACAAGAUUAUUUAACCUUUCUAUUUUUAGGAGUUGUAAGAUGGAACAUUGUGUUAAAGAUUCCACAUUAAUUAGAAAUAAAGACAUUUCAUAGUAUAUAAGUGAGUGCAAACAUUGUUUUAUAAGAUUGAGUUAGACUUAAAAUCCACUCUUUAACAUAAUGUUAGAAUCAUUUAAAGUAUAUCCUAAUGACAGUUUGUUAGAUCGUUCGAAUCUCUAUCGGACCAUCUAUAAAUAUAUAGUCUCACACACAAAUCUCGGAUGUGAGAGAGAUCCUACACCAACUAAAGAUAAGGACAUUUACUAUCUGGUUAUCAACAUAUAAGGAUUCUAUGCAAAAUUCAUUUUUAAAAAAGCACUAAUUUUUAAUUUUAGAAAGACAAAUAGAAAAAUAAAUUAUAUAAAAAUAAAAACUCUUUAUGGAAAGGAGAAAGAAAUAGAAGAAAGACAAAUAGGUAUUUAGAUAAGAAAUGUGUGUCGUUUAGGGAUGUUCUCUAAUUUUCAUGCUUUGGGGACAAGAUGUUGUCAUUUUUUACUCGUUGUCACAACCGCACAACUAUAACUUCAAAUUCAAAUUAUAUAUAAAACAAAUGCGACUUAAAGGAAAAUCAUUCAUGAAACUCAAAACUAUACAUAUUUCUAUUGCAAAAAUUUAAAUUAGUAUAUGUGGUGGAGUGUUGGGUAUAUUUCGAAAGUUUAACUUUUUAAAAAGAAGAAUAUCCUAAAAUUGUUUAGAAAAUGACAUUUUUUAAAGUUUAGAAACCAAAGUUGACUUUAAAUUUAUAAUGAAAAUUCAUACGAAGUGAAAUCCUUUUCGUCCACUCUCUCAUAGCUAUAUCUCACUUUUUAUUAUAUUGUUUUAAUUAGGAAAAAAAAUAAUAUUUUAGAAAUCCAAAUUAUAUGCAUAUAUAAUUAAGACUAAUACUAAUUUUAAUUUUUUAUUACUUAUAAAAGAAAGAGGGAGUGAUGUAUAAUUAAAACUCAAAAUAAGAGUUUAGAAAGUAAAAUAGAAUGUUUAUGUAUAACUAAAGAUAUUACCACAAAUAUUUUUAAUUCAUUUAAAAUAUAAAAGAUUUCAAAGAAAUGUAAAAGUAUAUAACAUAUAACAAUCAAUUAAAAAUUACAUACAACAAAAUUAAAUGUAGCCUCAAUAUUGUCUAAUGUUUUUUUUUUUCAAUUAUUUUUUAUCAACUAAUGUAAUUCUUAAUCUAUUGUCACCAGUAAAUCUGAUUUGUGUGCAGAGAUAACUAAUUUGAUUUGACUUGUUGUCUUGUGAUUGCAAUGAAAAGGGACCCAAAAUUGAAGUUUGUUUCCUAUUCACACUUUUUCUGCAUAUCUCUUACAAUCUUCUACAUAGCAGAAUAAGAAUUUAUAUGUGUAAUUUAAGUUUGUAUAGUUUUGUAUCAAAUAAAGUGGAAGAGAAAGAAAAAAGUAUUUAACCAAAUAAUUAAUUAAUUAAUUAAAAGAGAGAUAAAUAAAAAUUAAUAUAUAUUGUAAAAAAUGGUAACUUAAUAACGAACGAUAUAUAUUAUAUUAUUUUAAUAAUAAUUUAAAAUUAAUUAUUUUUAAAUUUAUUUCCAAUUAUACUUCAAAUAUUAUAUUAUAUGAUUGAUAUGAUGCAUGUACCAUACAUUUCAAUUGAAACUUCAAUCUUUAAGAGUUGUAUUUUAAAAAGUAUUUAUUAAGAAAACAAAAAAUUAAAACAUCUUAUUAUUUUACAACCUUAAAUUUCAUUAUUUCAAUCAAAAAGUGCCUAAGAGAUUCAAGUUGAAAAUAAUUCAAUCUUUUGUUGAUGAAUCUUCAAUAAAUAUCUCAUAUUGAUAAUGGUAAAUUUUUUUCUCAAAAUACACAUUAAAAGACUAAAAAAAUGCAUGGUUAAUUUUACAAAAAAAUUAUUAAACAGUAAUUAAAUUUAAAAAUAAAAAAAUAAUUAAUUAUUAUAUUAACUAAAUUAAAUACUAAUUUAAAAACUACAAAAUUAUAGAUAUUUAAUAUAAUUUUUAUUAUUAAUAGAAUAUUAUAAAAUUUUUAAAUUGAUCAUAUAUAUAUAUAUGGUUAAAGAAAAGUACAAUUAUGUUUUAUUGUUAGGAAUAUGAUGAUUUUGAUGUUUUAUUUUUUAAGGAAGCUAUAUCAGUUCUUAACUAAAAUAAAUUUAGUAAUGAAAAAAUAAACAGAAGAGAGAGAAAAACAGUGACGUCAGAUUCCACUGUCUCUUUGAUGCUGACUUCCCAACCAUUCAUUCGUGUACAUACGGAUCACACAUCUCUCACCAUAUAGUCCAUUAUUUUAAAAUAAAUAUAUUUAUAAUUAAUUAUGUUAUCAACUUAAUCAAUUAUUUUUAUUUUUAAAAUUGAUUAUUUAUUUUAUAAAAAUCAAUUAUGUGUGUUAAUUAGAGGUACCAAAACUCUCUUAUUUACAAAUUAUUUUUGGAGCAAAAUUGAAAAAUAAUACUAUUUACAUUACUUUCACCUUAUUUUUUUUAAGUAGACGAGAAGACAAGUUUUUCAUCUUCUAUGUCUUUUCACAUUCUCAUACACUAAAAAAAAUAUAUUAAAUUAAAUUAAUUUUAGAUAUUAAAAUAAUUAGUUAUUAUUUAAAUAAAUUAGAGAUCAUUUUAUAAAUUGAAAAAAAUUAUUAGUAUCUAAAUUAAUUUUUAUUAUUAAUAAAAAUUUAUAAAAUAAUUUUUAAAUUGAUAUCUAAUCCUUAAUUACCUAGGUUUUAGCUACUUACUACUUUAUAUUCUAAAUUAGUCUUUUAAAAACUAAUUUAGAAUAUAAAAUGUUAAUAACUAAAAUCUAGGUAGCUAAUUUAUAAACUAUUUUAUAAUUUUUUAUUAAUAAUAAAAAUCACUUUAAAUAUCAAUCAUUUUUUAGUUUUUAAAUUAAUAUCUAAUUUAAUUAAUAUAUUAACUAAUUUUUUUUGUCUUUAAAUUUAGUUAUUAUUUAUUAAUUUUGUUUAGUGAUAUUAGUGCAAACAUGUGUAUCCAAACACGAAUAAUUUCGCAAAACCAUCGUGAAAAACAAUAUAUAUCUACCAUAUCCUCACACACUACAAUUGGUAGCCUUGAACUUCUAAAUUCAAGAAAAAGAAAAUAGACUUAACAUGAAUUGGUGUGAGUAUAUAUUGCUAAAUUAGAAGGUGUAUUAACAAUUUUUGAACCACUUGACUAACAUUGGACCCAUGAAACUAAAGGUCCCUACUCCAAUGGAGCUAGUAUUUGAGUGAUGGACCUCACAUACCACUCACACUCACGGUAAGUGAUGGAAGAAGAUAGAUGAGAAUCACAACAACUAUGUGUAGUAGCAUCAGAAGACUAUUAACAUUUGAAAAUAAUAUGAUGAUCUCACACACGAUUUACUCAAAUCACAUUGCACAUGGGUGCAAGCAAAGCAAUACCAUAUCACUGAGUAACUGUUGCAUAAAUCUUUCAAGGAGAGGGAUCUUGUAGUGCAUGCUAGCUGCACUACAUGUUAUCAAUUAAUUCACACCGUUAGUGUCUCAAAUCCCAUUGUUCUUACAAGUUAUCUGAAAUAGAAUAUCCCUUAUCGAAUUCCUUCUGUCUUUCUUCGAUUCUGGAUGUUUUUCUGAGUGUACGAAAGGGGGUACUUAUAACACUACAAGAAAAUCAUGAAAUAGAAACCAAUUUGUAGAAACCAAAAUAAUUAGUUGCAAUAGUAACUAAAUUAGAGACCAUUUUAGAAACUAAAAAGAAAUUUGGUUUCUAAAUUAGUUUCUAUUAUUUUCUAUAAUUGUUAAAUAGUUUCUAAAUUGGUAUCUAAUUAGCAACCAAGGUUUUUGCUACCAAAUUUAGAAACUAAAUAAUUGGUAGUUAAAACCUUAAUUGCUAAUUAGAUACCAAUUUAUAAACUAUUUAACAAUAAUAGAAAAUAAUUUAGAAACCAAUUUUUUUUUAGUUUCUAAAAUGGUCUCUAUUUUAGUUCCUAUUGUAACUAAUUAUUUUGGUCUCUAAAAAUUGGUUUCUAUUUCAUGAUUUUCUUGUAGUGUAAAGGCACUCUGACUCUCAACUUAGUUGGGUGUUACUUAAAUCUUCUAGUUCAAAAUUCAGAAUCACAUUACCUUUCACCAUGAGAGUCUCUUCUUCUUUAUAUUAUUCUAGUAGACCUUGUUAUGUCAGAAUGGCUUAAACCAGGUCUAAUGAACAUAACGUUGCUUUAUAGUCUUUAAUUGGAUUAACAUCCUUAACCCUUUAUAUGACGUGGAUGUUGGUCUUUGCUGAAAGGCCGUUAGGCCGUCUAGGUGGUCGGUCUUCCGAUUUUGUGAUAUAACACUCAUGUUUAUAACUUAAGUACUAAGACUAAAAUCUAUGUUUAUAAAUUAAGUAGUGAGACUAAAAUCUGUGUGUGUGUUUUUUGAGAAAGUGGAUUAUAUUAGCAUGCAUGAUUUUAUAAGAAGUACUUGAAUGGUUGUUAGGAUUUUACAGUUUCCUUUUGAGGAUGUUUUAAUUAUCUCGUGAGAAGAAGUUAGAAAAGGGAGAGUACAUAGAAAGUGUCAUUGCUUUGGUAUUGCUACCUAGCUAAUCUAGUGGAAUAUUUUGAUGCCUUUUUACCCAUUCUUUUAGAAAUUUUCCUAUAAAUAGUUGCUCCUUGCUCCAAAGAAAUCUAACAUCUCAAAGUUCCAAACACAAUUCUCUUCUUCUCUUCUCUUUUCUUUCUCUCACUCUCUCUCACUAUUACAUAUGUGAUUUUAUUACUCUCUUUUUUCUUUUAGGGGGAGGUUUAUGGGGGUGGAAAAGGUGAGAGGGAGGCACUAGUUUUUUGUAAGGUUGUUGACAGAAGAUAGAGAGCACAGAUGAUGGUAUGCAUAUUACUAUAUAUAGAGAGGAGGAAUUGAUCAAUGGUGCAUCCUACUCCUUUGUGUUCUCUAUAUUUCUGUCAUCACCUUCACCCUCCAUUUCUCAUUUCCCCCCUCACUCUCUCUAUAUAUACCUCAUUUAUCUCUACAAGAACUAGAAUUUUACUCACCAAAAAAUCAUGUAUAAUUUACUGUUGUUGGAAAUCCUACAUCGACUACAUAUGUUAAGAAAUUUCAUAAUAUAUAAGUUGGUGCAAAACUUACCUCAUAAACCAGUUAUAUGAUGUUGAGUUAAGAUCAACUUCUUAAUGGAUGUUCAGCCUGGAAUUUACCUAGCUACUUUUCUCUACUAAUUGCAGCUGUUACAAUUAUACAAUACAUGGGUUUUAAAAAACAGUCUAUGGCUAUGAUUAAUGGCAAGAUCAUAAAAUGAUGAAAUGAAAUUAUAAUAUAUAUGUAAAUUAGGAGAAUAUAUGAUUGGUGUUAACCUUUAUAUUUUGCAGUUAGACUGGUAUGGGUGUUGGACACUAAGAUUAUUAUCUGUUUGUUGAUGGCACAUGAGGGAGAGUAAGAAUGAGAAAGUAUGGCUUCUUUUGAUUCUGUGUUUUGUGCUUGAUCUUCUUCAUAUGGCUUGGUUUUAACAAGAAUGUACUCAUCUUGCUUUAUUGAAGAAGGACCACAUGCAAUAGGAAUUUGUGGCAAGGGAUUGCGAAGAAAAUAUAUGGGGUCCAAAUUCCAAACUCACCAUCACAUAUUGUAGGGAACAUAUAUACUUAAUUGCUCACGAUUCUUCCAAACUCACUACCCCCACACUCUUGUUCCAUGAUUUUCAUGCUCAUCUCUAUCCAAUGCUCCCAAUAAUAAAGGGCCAAGCUUUUCAUAGCAGAUUUUUAUGUGAAUUUACACUAAUUUGUAAGCUAACUUUUUUUUUUAUAAAGUUUUCAUGUUAGACAUAUCUAUAUAUGUAAUUUGACAUUUCAGCUAGACUGACACUUUAAAUAACAACAAUUAUCUAUCAUCACAUGAAAAAACCUUAAACCCUAAACCUUAAAAAUGUAUAAUAACUUUAUAUAGUGUAAUUAAUUUGAUUAUGGGGAAUGAAAAAAAGGCAAAUUUAAGGAACUUUGAGUCAGAGGAGACAAAAGGGUGGUUUUGAGUGAUAUUAACAACAGCUUUUUUGCCAUUGAUGUGGUUUGAGUGAUGAAGAUGAAGCCCAUUAUGACUGUUAAUUAGUAAACAAUGUGAAGAAGAUAAAGUGAAAUAUGAGUUUUUGUCUUCUUGCCUGCAAUGCAAGAAAUAUGAAAUUAAUGAAAAUAUAUAUUCUCC
Molecule: long non-coding RNA, 7413 nt
Filed under: Phaseolus vulgaris (common bean)
Lineage: Eukaryota; Viridiplantae; Streptophyta; Magnoliopsida; Fabales; Fabaceae
Description: long non-coding RNA (PVUL_LNC004774)
Source: RNAcentral